RNAcentral lists this ribosomal RNA (484 nucleotides) under uncultured bacterium. RNAcentral's name for it is "partial 16S ribosomal RNA". It matches the Rfam family "Bacterial small subunit ribosomal RNA", at positions 30 to 507 of the family's 1533-position model. The record is from RNAcentral.
AUUGAACGCUGGCGGCAGGCCUAACACAUGCAAGUCGAGCGGAUGAAGGGAGCUUGCUCCUGGAUUCAGCGGCGGACGGGUGAGUAAUGCCUAGGAAUCUGCCUGGUAGUGGGGGAUAACGUCCGGAAACGGGCGCUAAUACCGCAUGCGUCCUGAGUGAGAAAGUGGGGGAUCUUCGGACCUCACGCUAUCAGAUGAGCCUAGGUCGGAUUAGCUAGUUGGUGGGGUAAAGGCCUACCAAGGCGACGAUCCGUAACUGGUCUGAGAGGAUGAUCAGUCACACUGGAACUGAGACACGGUCCAGACUCCUACGGGAGGCAGCAGUGGGGAAUAUUGGACAAUGGGCGAAAGCCUGAUCCAGCCAUGCCGCGUGUGUGAAGAAGGUCUUCGGAUUGUAAAGCACUUUAAGUUGGGAGGAAGGGCAGUAAGUUAAUACCUUGCUGUUUUGACGUUACCAACAGAAUAAGCACCGGCUAACUUCGUG